CAGUAGCCACGGUAAUACGGAGGAUGCGAGCGUUAUCCGGAUUUAUUGGGUUUAAAGGGUGCGUAGGCGGCCUGUUAAGUCAGCGGUGAAAUCUAGGAGCUUAACUCCUAAAUUGCCAUUGAAACUGGCGGGCUUGAGUGUAGAUGAGGUAGGCGGAAUGCGUGGUGUAGCGGUGGAAUGCAUAGAUAUCACGCAGAACUCCAAUUGCGAAGGCAGUUUACUAAGGUACAACUGACGCUGAAGCACGAAAGCGUGGGUAUCAAACAGGAUUAGAUACCCCCGUAGUCCCUGUCUCUUAUAC
This 301-nucleotide ribosomal RNA is filed under the name uncultured bacterium. Its description in RNAcentral is "partial 16S ribosomal RNA". It matches the Rfam family "Bacterial small subunit ribosomal RNA", at positions 509 to 807 of the family's 1533-position model. The record is from RNAcentral.